AGUUAGUUAUAGUAUAUUAUAGUAUAUAUUAUUUUUGGGCUUAUUUAGAUGUAGUAUAAUUAGCAGCUGCCGCACGACACAGUGUUGGAAAAAAGUGCAAGUUUUCAAUGAUGGCGCCACUUCGUUUUCGUUUAAUGGUCUACGGCCAGGCUUUACACUUAACAUUGCCGUCGAGGAGUGUUAACAGCAGCUGGCGCUGUCUCGCGUUACCCACACGACGACCUCUGCUUGCGCUAAUUGGAUUCGAAUUGCACGAUUUAUGGGCAUCAAGCGGAGAGUUCGAGAACGAGUUCGAGUUCGAUGCAUUUAUUUUUAACACUUUGGGCCGGCCGCAUAAAUUGCAUAAUCGAUACGGGCAUAAAGUAACAGCCCGUAACAGAGCAACAGCUGUAGCUGUAGCUUUAGCUCUAACAGCAGCUGUUAGCUGUAAAUGUGUGCGUGUUGCCGAUGGCGUCAUCGUUGUCCACCAAACAGGAGCCAACGAACGGGAACGGGAACGGGAACCGAUUGGCCAUAUAUAGAGAACGAUCGAUGGAUCGAUCGAUCGAUUUAUCGUCAUCGUCAUCGCUGGCAAUUUGUUUGCAUUGUGCUUUGAUUAGCUGCCAAUUGAUUUUAUUUGUCGGCCUGCCGCUUUGUAUCAAUUUAAAUAACUGUCUGUCAUACAUACAAGUAGACGCAUUAUAAAACAAAAACUGAUCGCCAAUACACAAAUAUAUAUUUAUAUAUAUAUAUAUAUAUAUAUAACUGAAUCAUUGGCGCGAGUCGCGCACGCCACGCAAUUCGCCAUGCUCCAUGCUCAAGUCCAUUUGCCAGAUUGUAAACUAUUCAACUUUGAUUUUGUGUGUGUAGAAGCUGCCGCCUGCUGCCAGGCGACAUUGAAUGAAGUCAUGAGCCAAAAAUAAUGACAAACAGCAAUUAUAA
This is a non-coding RNA of Drosophila virilis, 921 nucleotides long. NCBI's taxonomy places the organism in Eukaryota, Metazoa, Arthropoda, Insecta, Diptera, Drosophilidae. The record is from RefSeq and is a predicted model, not a curated record.